This 108-nucleotide ribosomal RNA is filed under the name Labrus bergylta (ballan wrasse). The record is from RNAcentral. Lineage: Eukaryota; Metazoa; Chordata; Actinopteri; Labriformes; Labridae.
GCUUACGGCCAUACCACCCUGAACACGUCCGAUCUGGAAGCUAAGCAGGGUCGGGCCUGGUUAGUACUUGGAUGGGAGACCGGCUAGGAAUACCAGGUGCUGUAAGCU